CCAGACGAACCGCCGAGUCACCACGGAAAGUGAUCCGGGGAACCAAUCGCGGUACGCCGCCCGAUCAGCGUGCCGCAGGGGUGAAUCCGCGACGAACCGUGCCGCGGUAGGGCGACUUCUUCCCGCCCGAAUCCGUCAGCUAACCCGGUAGGCGGUUGCCGACGGGCACC
RNAcentral lists this small RNA (170 nucleotides) under Actinomycetota bacterium. Its description in RNAcentral is "Actinobacteria bacterium c-di-AMP sequence". It matches the Rfam family "c-di-AMP riboswitch aptamer (ydaO/yuaA leader)". From Rfam's summary of the family: This family represents a conserved RNA structure found upstream of the ydaO and yuaA genes in Bacillus subtilis and related genes in other bacteria. The ydaO/yuaA element is thought to act as a genetic "off" switch for the ydaO and yuaA genes in its native state. It is believed that the element may be triggered during osmotic shock leading to activation of ydaO, a predicted amino acid transporter gene, and members of the yuaA-yubG operon which code for KtrA and KtrB K+ transporters. The record is from RNAcentral. Lineage: Bacteria; Bacillati; Actinomycetota.